RNAcentral lists this ribosomal RNA (408 nucleotides) under uncultured bacterium. Its description in RNAcentral is "partial 16S ribosomal RNA". It matches the Rfam family "Bacterial small subunit ribosomal RNA", at positions 28 to 526 of the family's 1533-position model. The record is from RNAcentral.
GACGAACGCUGGCGGCGUGCUUAACACAUGCAAGUCGAACGGAGUGGCGAACGGGUGAGUAACACGUGGGUGACCUGCCCUGCACUUCGGGAUAAGCCUGGGAAACUGGGUCUAAUACCGGAUAGUGUGGGAUGGGCCCGCGGCCUAUCAGCUUGUUGGUGGGGUAAUGGCCUACCACGGCGGCGACGGGUAGCCGGCCUAAGAGGGUGGACGGCCACAUUGGGACUGAGACACGUCCCAGACUCCUACUGGAGGCAGAAGUGGGGAAUAUUGCACAAUGGGCGGAAGCAUGAUGCAGCGACGCCGCGUGGGGGAUGACGGCGUUCGGGUUGUAAACUCCUUUCACCAUCGACGCGGUAGAUGGAGAAGAAGCACCGGCUAACUACGUGCCAGCAGCCGCGGUAAUAC